ACUACAAUAAUCAAUAAUUUGAUUGGGUAAAUCUACACCCACAAACAUUUAGUGGAAGAGCUUCUUAAUUUUUAUUUUACACUUUUAGUUGUUUUUGGUAGGAGUCCAUCAUCACCCUACUUCUUGAUCUAGCAAUAUUGCCCUGAAAAACUAUCAAAAUCAAUCAGACUGUGAGGACAUCUGUUGUCCACAGCCUUCCUUAAAUAGCCUAAAAGAUUUCCCUGCACGUUUGGUUCCAGACUAUUGCAAAACUUUGAUUUUCUUAAGAUGUAGCUAGUCUUUUGUUAACUUGGAUGUAUUCCUGGUCUUAUUGUGCUACUGAAGAACAAAACCCUGGUUCAUCUUCAGAUUUCACUUUUUAGUCCAAAGUGACUGGUUUUCAGACCUGUCCAACAAUUUCCUUCACCCUGACAAACUCCAAUUUGUUGUGAAGAAAAGUUAGUCCAGAGAAUGAUCUCGUCACCUCCUUGUUUUACAGUGGUCAGCUGUUUUUGUACCAGACAUGAUUUUUUCAAAAUGUGGCCAAACGCAAAGUUUUAGUACUGAAAUUGUUGCCCAGAAAUUUGUCCAGUCAUGUGUUUACUGUGACAUAUUAUAGAAUGCUUAUAAAUGGCAUCCUCCUUCUAACUGGUACAAUUUCUUAGUGGAUUUCUUUAUAAAUGUUUAACUAAAAGGACGCAAAUGUGAGGGAAAUCCUACCAGGACAAAUUAACUCUUCUUAGACUAAUCAGCUGAUUGGAGGCAUUAACUCAAGAUGUUAUCUUGAUCUUUAAUUAAAAAGGUGCUUCAAAAAUAUUGCAGUUUCAGGGUGCAGACACAAGGUUUGCAAAUGUUUUUUUUUUUUUUUUUUUUGGUGGUGUUUUAGUUUGUUUUGUUUUGUACAUGUUCUCCCUAACCUAUGUUUCUGUGUUAGUUAAAAUGUACAUGUUUUACAUUCCAAAAGCCUCACCUUUUUAAAUAGACCAUACACACUUUUGAAACCCACUGUAUAUCCUUUCCUUAUAAAAGUAAAGUGCCAACAGGAAAGUCUGAUUUGCACAAUAGUUUUUACCUGAUGAGCCAUCCUUCAUAUAUUAAAGGAGCACCAGUGCCUUUGAGCUACAAAUUAGUGUCUUUAGUAAGUCCACAGGUGAGGAAAUGUAUCACAAACAAAUGUAUUUUAUUUGAACUAAAAAAAAAAAUGGCAUAAAUUUUUCAGAUUUGUAUAAUGAUUUGAUGAUUUUUUUGGAAGAUAAUGUUUUUCUGUUUGCGCAGUGUGCUGGUUGAUUCCAAAAUUACCUAGUUAGCUUGAA
Poecilia latipinna (sailfin molly) is the source of this 1292-nucleotide long non-coding RNA. RefSeq lists it as uncharacterized. The record is from RefSeq and is a predicted model, not a curated record. Lineage: Eukaryota; Metazoa; Chordata; Actinopteri; Cyprinodontiformes; Poeciliidae. The transcript has 3 exons.